UCGAGAGGUUACGUUUUUAAUUAUUAUUAUUAACCAAUUCAUUAUUAUUAAAUUAUUAUGAAGGACACGAAAUUGGUACCUGAAUUUCCGAUGAUGGAGAAUUGUCCUGGAUGAGUCGUUGAGUAGAUUUGUACAAGAUGCACUGGAUAAUUGGAAUUCCGUUAUGAACACUUUAUAAAUACUGAGCACGUGUAGUUAGCCACCGCGUGUAGAUUAAUUGUGCCGGUUGGCGCGUAAUCGUCUAUCUGCCUCGGGGAGUUGACUAUCAGGGUGCGCGUCAGUCGCAGCACCACUGAUGCAGUAGAGUGCGAAUUUACCAAGUGUUCUGGCGCGAACAUUUGGUAUUUACGCAACACUUAGCAAUGUACAGA
Cotesia glomerata is the source of this 371-nucleotide long non-coding RNA. RefSeq lists it as uncharacterized. The transcript is spliced from 3 exons. Lineage: Eukaryota; Metazoa; Arthropoda; Insecta; Hymenoptera; Braconidae. The record is from RefSeq and is a predicted model, not a curated record.